RNAcentral lists this ribosomal RNA (438 nucleotides) under uncultured Leptolinea sp. RNAcentral describes it as "bacterial SSU rRNA". It matches the Rfam family "Bacterial small subunit ribosomal RNA", at positions 927 to 1382 of the family's 1533-position model. The record is from RNAcentral. Lineage: Bacteria; Bacillati; Chloroflexota; Anaerolineae; Anaerolineales; Anaerolineaceae.
AAGCAGCGGAGCGUGUGGUUUAAUUCGAUGCUACACGAAGACUUACCAGGUUUGACAUGCAAGUGGUAGGAAACCGAAGGCGACCGACCCUUCGGGGAGCUUGCACAGGUGCUGCAUGGCUGUCGUCAGCUCGUGUCGUGAGAUGUUCGGUUAAGUCCGCUAACGAGCGCAACCCUCGCUGUGUGUUACAAGUGUCACACGGUACUGCCGGUCUUAAGCCGGAGGAAGGUGGGGAUGACGUCAAGUCAGCAUGGCCUUUAUGUCCUGGGCUACACACACGCUACAAUGGCCAACACAAUAGGUUGCUAAGCCGCGAGGUGGAGCCAAUCCUCAAAGCAGGCCUCAGUUCAGAUUGCAGUCUGCAACUCGACUGCAUGAAGCCGGAGUUGCUAGUAACCGCAGGUCAGCAAUACUGCGGUGAAUACGUUCCCGGGUCUU